Molecule: ribosomal RNA, 785 nt
Filed under: Staphylococcus sp. X31-CRBM-E14
Lineage: Bacteria; Bacillati; Bacillota; Bacilli; Caryophanales; Staphylococcaceae
Also listed under: 3 other names
Description: bacterial SSU rRNA
Rfam family: Bacterial small subunit ribosomal RNA
Source: RNAcentral
UGCAGUCGAGCGAACGGAUAAGGAGCUUGCUCCUUUGAAGUUAGCGGCGGACGGGUGAGUAACACGUGGGUAACCUACCUAUAAGACUGGGAUAACUUCGGGAAACCGGAGCUAAUACCGGAUAACAUUUAGAACCGCAUGGUUCUAAAGUGAAAGAUGGUUUUGCUAUCACUUAUAGAUGGACCCGCGCCGUAUUAGCUAGUUGGUAAGGUAACGGCUUACCAAGGCGACGAUACGUAGCCGACCUGAGAGGGUGAUCGGCCACACUGGAACUGAGACACGGUCCAGACUCCUACGGGAGGCAGCAGUAGGGAAUCUUCCGCAAUGGGCGAAAGCCUGACGGAGCAACGCCGCGUGAGUGAUGAAGGGUUUCGGCUCGUAAAACUCUGUUAUUAGGGAAGAACAAAUGUGUAAGUAACUGUGCACAUCUUGACGGUACCUAAUCAGAAAGCCACGGCUAACUACGUGCCAGCAGCCGCGGUAAUACGUAGGUGGCAAGCGUUAUCCGGAAUUAUUGGGCGUAAAGCGCGCGUAGGCGGUUUCUUAAGUCUGAUGUGAAAGCCCACGGCUCAACCGUGGAGGGUCAUUGGAAACUGGGAAACUUGAGUGCAGAAGAGGAAAGUGGAAUUCCAUGUGUAGCGGUGAAAUGCGCAGAGAUAUGGAGGAACACCAGUGGCGAAGGCGACUUUCUGGUCUGUAACUGACGCUGAUGUGCGAAAGCGUGGGGAUCAAACAGGAUUAGAUACCCUGGUAGUCCACGCCGUAACGAUGAGUGCUAAGUGUUA